CUACAAGUACGGGCCCUGCAGCAUCACUAAGGGUACUUACCCAUUAUGGAGUACUCCUAGAACCCUGCUCCUGUUAUUGCAGUAUGAUCUGGCGUAAGGAACGGGAAUGCAGACCACACCUUCAUUAGGAAGAUCAUUUGCUCGGAAAGGAAUCUCAUAAAUCAGAUCAAAGGAAGCACAGGACGUAUAGCUGUUCUCAGCAGGCAGGAAUUUGGAGGAUCACGACCGAGUGAAGAAUGGAGAUUAAUGUUAGAGUCUGCAAACUGUGUGCUCUGUUUCAAGUGUGCUGGUGGAGUGACGCCACGUUGCCUGAUAUGAGACUUAAACAAGAUGUACAUAGGAGGUGUUGUGAACUACGAGUCACUGACUUAAGACAGGACGCAUCUGUGAAGGAUUUCAAAACGCUCUUUGGCAUGUAUCAUCAGGGAAGGUAAUUCCCUAAGGAAAAGGCGAGCUGUUGUCUCUUCGGUUAAGGAGAACUUGAAUCAUUGCACUUUUAAUUAUACCUCCCAUUUCCAGUUUUGGAUGAGGCGGGCGCAUACUUUCCUACAUUUUAAAUGUUAGUGUUGGGCAAUGUGAAAUUGGUUGACUUUUUUUGUCAAGGGAAAGAGGUACAGUGAUGAGUAUUAUUGUAAGUUCAUGUUAGUUCCUUUUCCAAGAACCUAAAUUUAACUCCAUGGUUUUGGUAAAUCUAAUAAACGGCAUGAGAACAAAUGGAGCAAGUUAUUCUGGAUGUGCACAAGCAAAGCAUUUCCACAGAGCGGAAAACACCGCGUUCCCACGCUGGCCUCCAACCCAUUCAAGGUACAGAAAUGGUAAGUGAUCUGCCUUACAACUGAGAAACGUAUUCAUGGCUUCUUAGAAUUAUACGUGAUGAGAUCCAAGUUCAGCCAAUGUCAUUUAUUUUUGCUCAUAAAAUGUCAAGGGUGGGAGGAAGGAGAUAGAGAAAUUCAAUCAGAGAAAUCCAACUCAGAAAAUACACAUACUGCAUUUUCUGAAGGGAUACUUAACUACUUAAAGUGCCACUGAAUAACGGAGUUUGCAUGCUAUGUUUUAUCAAAAUCCAUAGAAAUAAAGAAAAGACAACGAUUGUCAAAAGACCAAUCAGAUGAAGGGGAUAAAUGAAAAGUAUGAAUGUUAUGGGUGUUAAAAACUUCUCACUAGAUCUCAUUUAAGAUUUUUGUGUGUUACCAAUUAGGUACAGACUUAAAUAUCCAUGCUUUUCUAUUUCAGAUGCCCUUUCAAAACUUAGCAGUAACAAAUCCUACCUUUUUUUUUUUUUAAGCAACUUUAAAUUUCUGGAUUCAUUUUUCCUAAGGAAAUUUCCUUACUGGUGUUUGUUAUCCUGGCAAGAAUAUGUAAAAAUCAUAUUAUU
Alexandromys fortis (reed vole) is the source of this 1375-nucleotide long non-coding RNA. RefSeq lists it as uncharacterized. The transcript is spliced from 3 exons. NCBI's taxonomy places the organism in Eukaryota, Metazoa, Chordata, Mammalia, Rodentia, Cricetidae. The record is from RefSeq and is a predicted model, not a curated record.